Long non-coding RNA from Sceloporus undulatus (fence lizard), 571 nucleotides. RefSeq lists it as uncharacterized. The record is from RefSeq and is a predicted model, not a curated record. The transcript is spliced from 4 exons. NCBI's taxonomy places the organism in Eukaryota, Metazoa, Chordata, Lepidosauria, Squamata, Phrynosomatidae.
UGUAGGGUUUUAACUCUUUGCUAUUCCAUUCCCCUUCUGAGAGGGGGAAAAAGGCAGGUGUGUGAAAGGGGCACGCUUUGAUUUCCAUCUCUUAUUUUUAAUUACAUUUUAAUUGAAUUAAUUUUUAAUUUUAUUUUAUUUUGAGCAGCAUUUUAAGAGCUUUUACCUCACAGAAUGAAAAGAGUGGGAUGAUGAAGCAUGAGGGGGAUUUUUAAUUUAAAAAAAACCGCCUGAGGAGGAGAUUUUGAGGCACUGGAAGGGUUUGGAAUAACUCUGUGAGGGAUACCUACGGACGAAUGGCAGUCAUGACUGGUGGGAGAAGAACUAUGAAAACCCAAGGGACAAAGAAAGCAGUGCAACCAGACCUGAGCUUCAGGGCUUCUCUGGAGCUCUUUCCUCGUGUCCCAGAGGAGCAGCCGAGCGAGGAAGGAAACCAGGCCGGCCUUCUUGAUAAGGGGCUUACGUUGGCCCAGCGCCAGGUCCAGGGUGCCAGUUCCUGCCAGAUUACGAGGUUUGGGGAACACCUUGUGAGAUGAAGUUGGAUGCCGUACCUGUCCUGAUAAACAACAAC